UGUGCACAACGUGAAUGUUAAUCAGAUAUUAAAUUUGGAAUACCCUAAAUUCAAAUCCUAGACCCAAACCCUAAAUCGAACUCCGAAACUUAGCCGCUAUAGGUUUGGGUUUAAGGUUCACAGUUUGGAUUUAGGGUCUAGAAUUUACGUUUAGGGUAUAGGGUUUGGGAUUAGAGUUUACGGUUUAUGGUGUAGGAUUUGUUUUACGGUAUACAGUUUGGGUUUACGAUCUAGGAUUUAAGUUUAUGUCAUAUGAUUUGGGUUUAGGGUUUACAGUUUGGGUUUAUGGUCUACAAUUUAGGUUUAAGGUUAUACGGUUUGGGUUUAGGGUCUAGUAUUUGGGUUUAGAGUUUAAGAUUUGGGAGGGUUUGAGUUUAAAGUUUACGGUUUGGGUUUAUGGUCUAGGAUUUAAAUUUAGGAUUUAGGGUUUAGGGUUUAGGUUUAGAGUUUACGGUUUGGGUUUAUGGUGUAAGAUUUGAGUUUACGGUAUACGGUUUGGGUUUUGGGUCUAGGAUUUUGAUUUAGAGUAUAUGAUUUUGGUUUAUAUACUGUUUGGAUUUAUGGUCUAGAAUUUAUGUUUAAGGUUAUACGGGUUGGGUUAGGGUGUAGUAAUGGGAUUUAGGGUAUACGAUUUGGGUUUAUGGUCCGAGUAAUAUAUUAUAGUGCAUUUAAUGUUAUUUAGCAUCUCAAUUAGUUCAUUUUAAUCACUUUAGAUUGCAUCUAGGUGUCUACAUUGCAUAUAUUUGUCCAUUUAUGUGCAUAAGGGUUUGGAGAGUCCAAUUAAAAGUUUUAGGCGAUGUUAGAAGGUUAUUUCUGCAAAUCAGAAACAGUUGGGGCCAAGACGAAAUAAGAAGAAAAUACAGGGAUCAAUGAUGCAAAAGACAGACUACACGCGGGUCUAUAUUGUCACAAUUAAAAGCUAAGGGGCUAAAUUAAGGAUGUUUCUGCGCUUUAGAAAAUCAUGGGCCGUCUUGUAAAGAAGUAGAAGUUAAGGGACCUGUCUGGAAAAUAUUCUAAAAUCCACCAAUGAAAACAAUGAGCUUUCUCUUUGUGUAAUCUGAGGCUGAUUCUGACGAUGGCGAUGGCGGAGACCACGGCUUGGAGAUGAGAGCAUGGCGCAGAGGAAGAAGCGACAUCAAUAGCUGAAAUCUAUCACACCAAUUCGUGACGCCGAGAAUGGAGCCGCGACGAAGACUUGACGCCAUGGAAAAACAUGUGGGUGUCAUGAAAAGACAAAAUAACCGGCAACGGGUAAAUCAAAUAGUUUCCAACCUCAACUAGAGGUUACUCAUGCUCAAAAACAAAGGAAGAGAGAAGAAGAUGACAAUAAUAAUGGAGUUUUGACAAAUUUAUUGCACUUUCUAACAUAAAGAUUUGCGUGAACUAGAUAGCUAUAGAAUCUUCAUUAAUAUUUUCUGGUCAGCGGGUAGAACGGUCAAGUCUAUUUGCAUAUCUAGUUAUAGGGUUAUUACCACCAUUUAGAAAGUACAACAGUAGCAUA
Long non-coding RNA from Brassica napus (rape), 1501 nucleotides. RefSeq lists it as uncharacterized. Lineage: Eukaryota; Viridiplantae; Streptophyta; Magnoliopsida; Brassicales; Brassicaceae. The transcript is spliced from 2 exons. The record is from RefSeq and is a predicted model, not a curated record.